Papaver somniferum (opium poppy) is the source of this 1276-nucleotide long non-coding RNA. RefSeq lists it as uncharacterized. The record is from RefSeq and is a predicted model, not a curated record. The transcript is spliced from 4 exons. NCBI's taxonomy places the organism in Eukaryota, Viridiplantae, Streptophyta, Magnoliopsida, Ranunculales, Papaveraceae.
UCUACUAAAACUCCACCCACCUUCUAACGCUUUAGUCUAACCAUUGCUCUCCACUUCUCUCUGCCGUGCAACCCCAGAGAAACACCUUAUUUUAUCUGUCAUUCAAUGUUUUUAGGGAGUUCCUGUUCGAUCUGAUUUCCUGUUCCGAUGGAGUUUGAAUCAGAGGUCUAAUCAGUCAGUCAAUGUUUUGUGAGGUCGGAGUUACAUAGUUCAGAAAAUUUUAUGGUUCAAACUAGAGGAGUACGCAGUAAACAACACGUUUUGAUGUUUGAUGGUGAAACUGGCGUUCGAUUAAGUUCAAGCGUCUUGGGUUUUUAGGCACCCUAAGCAUUGCUAGAAUGUGGGAGAUGCAUGCCUUUUCCCUUUAUGUGAAAGUGAACCCAGGGAUCAUAAUGGCAACUAAAUCCAGUUGAUGAUAGAUUCUUGCGCUUAUAAGGCUGUAUAAAAUCGAACUUCCCUUCAUGAGAUUACUCUCCUUCUUCCUGCUUGGUGAUUGAUUUCGAUAUCCUUUACCUAAUGUAAGGUCGAUCAGUUCUUCCUGAAUUGUGGUAUCACUACAUUGCAUCUCAGCAACAUCCAGACUUUAAUCCUUGUAUGCGUAUGAUUAGCUUCUCUCUAUGUCGUUAGCUGAUGGAAGAACAUCAACAAGGGUGAAGAACUCAUCCUAGUUCACUUGUAGUGUUGUUAUUCAAUUUUUUCUUAUCACAAGUAUUUAUGUUGUAGCUCGGGCUCAGUAUCUACCUAGAAGCAAAAUUACUUUGGGGAAAAUGUCAUUGUUGUCCCAGGUGUCCUUUUUAGAGUUUCUCUGCCAACUUAUUUUUGGUCUUUCCCUUUUUAUGAGUUUCUCCCUUUGUUUCUGUGAGGACACAAGUCAAGGAGCUUGUAUAGGCCUUGCCAAAAAUAUGUUGUGGGUCCCUUUAACUUUGUUUACACAAAUGGUUUAGUUCUUUGCUUUACGAUGUAGAACGCUAGAUUUUCUACACAUUGGUUGCUUUAAAUAAUAUUGUCUGAAGGUGAUUUUUAGAUAGAAGGAUCGCUGGAGUUACUUACACCUGCAUGCACGUUGGAGCUUCUAGGAAUGCCUCUCACACUUAAAAAUGAUGAAUGAAGAACGGGAGUGAUCUCUGCUGCUGUGCGAAUUAGUCAGGAAAUACCCUGAUGUUGAAAGUUCUUGCAGAGUGCAAGACUGGUCAUGCUUCUUGAGCCACGCUCUUAUUCCAUGCGAGAAAUAGUUGUUUUAUGAAGAAACAAAAACUUCCUUGAAUCACAAAACCAA